GUUCCUGCUGAACUGAGCCAGU
This 22-nucleotide microRNA is filed under the name Cricetulus griseus (Chinese hamster). RNAcentral's name for it is "cgr-miR-3074". Lineage: Eukaryota; Metazoa; Chordata; Mammalia; Rodentia; Cricetidae. RNAcentral also lists the same sequence under 1 other name. The record is from miRBase by way of RNAcentral.